GGUCACUGCUAUCAGUGUUCGCCUAAGCCAUGCGAGUCAUAUGUAGCAAUACAUGGCGUACUGCUCAGUAACACGUGGAUAACCUGCCCUUGGGUCCGGCAUAACCCCGGGAAACUGGGGAUAAUUCCGGAUAACGCAUAUAUGCUGGAAUGCUUUCUGCGUAAAAUGGAUUCGUCUGCCCAAGGAUGGGUCUGCGGCCUAUCAGGUAGUAGUGGGUGUAAUGUACCUACUAGCCUACGACGGGUACGGGUUGUGAGAGCAAGAGCCCGGAGAUGGAUUCUGAGACAUGAAUCCAGGCCCUACGGGGCGCAGCAGGCGCGAAAACUUUACAAUGCGGGAAACCGUGAUAAGGGGACACCGAGUGCCAGCAUCCUAUGCUGGCUGUCCGGGUGUGUAAAAUACACCUGUCAGCAAGGGCCGGGCAAGACCGGUGCCAGCCGCCGCGGUAACACCGGCGGCCCGAGUGGUGAUCGUGAUUAUUGGGUCUAAAGGGUCCGUAGCCGGUUUGGUCAGUCCUCCGGGAAAUCUGACAGCUCAACUGUUAGGCUUUCGGAGGAUACUGCCAGACUUGGAACCGGGAGAGGUAAGAGGUACUACAGGGGUAGGAGUGAAAUCUUGUAAUCCCUGUGGGACCACCUGUGGCGAAGGCGUCUUACCAGAACGGGUUCGACGGUGAGGGACGAAAGCUGGGGGCACGAACCGGAUUAGAUACCCGGGUAGUCCCAGCCGUAAACGAUGCUCGCUAGGUGUCAGGCAUGGCGCGACCGUGUCUGGUGCCGCAGGGAAGCCGUGAAGCGAGCCACCUGGGAAGUACGGCCGCAAGGCUGAAACUUAA
Molecule: ribosomal RNA, 835 nt
Filed under: uncultured archaeon
Lineage: Archaea
Description: bacterial SSU rRNA
Rfam family: Archaeal small subunit ribosomal RNA
Source: RNAcentral